This 253-nucleotide ribosomal RNA is filed under the name uncultured bacterium. RNAcentral's name for it is "partial 16S ribosomal RNA". It matches the Rfam family "Bacterial small subunit ribosomal RNA", at positions 524 to 776 of the family's 1533-position model. The record is from RNAcentral.
UACGAAGGGGGCUAGCGUUGUUCGGAAUUACUGGGCGUAAAGCGCACGUAGGCGGAUUGUUAAGUGAGGGGUGAAAUCCCAGGGCUCAACCCUGGAACUGCCUCUCAUACUGGCAAUCUCGAGUUCGAGAGAGGUGAGUGGAAUUGCGAGUGUAGAGGUGAAAUUCGUAGAUAUUCGCAGGAACACCAGUGGCGAAGGCGGCUAUCUGGGCUGCAACUGACGCUGAGGCGCGAAGGCUAGGGGAGCGAACGGG